AUCCCGCUGACGAGUCCCGAAUAGGGCGAAACGCGCUUCCUGGAC
Molecule: non-coding RNA, 45 nt
Organism: Schistosoma mansoni
Lineage: Eukaryota; Metazoa; Platyhelminthes; Trematoda; Strigeidida; Schistosomatidae
Source: Rfam